CCUACGGGAGGCAGCAGUGGGGAAUAUUGCACAAUGGGCGCAAGCCUGAUGCAGCCAUGCCGCGUGUGUGAAGAAGGCCUUCGGGUUGUAAAGCACUUUCAGCGGGGAGGAAGGCGUUAAGGUUAAUAACCUUGGCGAUUGACGUUACCUGCAGAAGAAGCACCGGCUAACUCCGUGCCAGCAGCCGCGGUAAUACGGAGGGUGCAAGCGUUAAUCGGAAUUACUGGGCGUAAAGCGCACGCAGGCGGUCUGUCAAGUCGGAUGUGAAAUCCCCGGGCUCAACCUGGGAACUGCAUUCGAAACUGGCAGGCUAGAGUCUUGUAGAGGGGGGUAGAAUUCCAGGUGUAGCGGUGAAAUGCGUAGAGAUCUGGAGGAAUACCGGUGGCGAAGGCGGCCCCCUGGACAAAGACUGACGCUCAGGUGCGAAAGCGUGGGGAGCGAACAGGAUUAGAUACCCUGGUAGUC
Molecule: ribosomal RNA, 465 nt
Filed under: uncultured Klebsiella sp.
Lineage: Bacteria; Pseudomonadati; Pseudomonadota; Gammaproteobacteria; Enterobacterales; Enterobacteriaceae
Description: bacterial SSU rRNA
Rfam family: Bacterial small subunit ribosomal RNA
Source: RNAcentral